UCGAGCACUGCUUCAAGAACUGGUAACUUUUUAUUCCUUGUACAGUAAUACUUAUUUUUGGGGCAAUGUCUUCUUCCCAAUCUUCUAGUAAUAAGAAUCCGGCUUGGAAAUAUGCCAAACUAAAUCCGAAAGAUAGAAAUUAUGUGAUUUGCAUGCUCAGUGGAAAUACUUAUAUGGGUGGUAUUUUUCGACUAAAAAAAAACACUUCGCCGGAAUUUCUGAGAGUGUAAGAGCGUGCCCGCAAGCUAUCGAUGAAAUAAAUAAGGAGAUUAGAGAAUACAUGGAUAGAUCGAAAAACAAUAAAGAGAAGAAAAAAAUGAAAAGAAAAGAAUUACUUGAUGAUAUGGAGUUAUUUGAUGAUGAUGAUGAUGAUGAUUAUGAUGAUGAUGAUGAUAUAUCUGAAGUUGCAAUGAGGCAAAGGGGUACUCGAACUCCAAUAUCAAGAGAGAGGGUUAUAAAUAUUGGUGGUAGUGUUAAAAAUAGAACACCUCUCUCUAGGGGGCCAAUGGAUGUUUUUUUCGCCCCUAACGCCGAAAUUGUGGUUUAGGAGACGCAAAAAAAAAAAACAAACUACAAUUGAAAAUAGAUACAAGAAAGAACGGAGGAAGUCGGUGUGUAAGUGGAUUGCAAAGUGGAUUUACAUGGCCGACAUUCCUUUUAAUACUAUAACUCUCGAUAGUUUUGCAUGUAUGGUGCAGACAAUUAGGCAAUAUGGCCCAGGACUUGUUCCUCCUUCAUUACAUGAGGUUAGGGAGCCCUUGUUGAAAGAUGUUGUAUUUGAUGUCAAGAAAAUUUUGAUUUCUCAAAGAGAUGGGUGGGAGCAAUAUGGGGCCACUAUUUUGUGUGAUGGUUGGUCUGAUGGGAAGUCGAGGGCAUUCAUUAAUUUUUUGGUUAAUUAUCCAAAAAGUACUUUUUUUGUUAAGUCUGUUGAUGCAUUAGACAAGUCACAUAAUGCUACAUACUUGUGUGGCUUGAUAGAUGAGAUUGUAGAGUUUGUUGCAGAGAAAAAUGUGGUACAAAUUGUCACUGACAAUGGUACCAAUUAUGUUGCAGUUGGGCAUUUCUUGACUUUGAAAAGGACGCAUAUGUUUUGGACUCCUUAUGCAGCUCAUUGUGUUAAUAUUAUGCUAAAGGAAAUGGGUACUUCUUUAUUUAGUGGGGUGAUUUCAAGAGCUAUGUUUGUUGUUGGAUUUAUUUACAAUCACACCAUAGUCCGAAGCAUGAUGAGAUUUUUUACAAAGAAGAGAGAAUUAGUGAGACCGGGUAUUACUAGAUUUGUCACGUCAUUUCUCACUCUUCGAAGCCUAGCCAAGCAAAAAAGUGCCUUGAGGACCAUGUUUGCUUCAUAAUGAUGGAGUCAAAGUAAAUGGUCAAAGCAGGGAGAAACGCUGAAAAAAUUAUUUUGAAUACGUCUUUUUGAAGCGAAAUAAUUCUUGCAUUGGAGGUGGCUCGCCUUUUAGUGAGAGUGCUUCGACUGGUUGAUGGUGAUGCGAAGCCCGCCAUGGGUUACAUACUUGACGCAAUGACUAGGGGAAGAGCAGAGAUAAAAAAUGUUUUAAAGGGGGAAAAUAUGCACAAGGCUAUACUUGAAAUUAUUGAUAGGAGUUGGGAUACCCAGCUUCAUAGGCACCUCCAUUCUCCUGGUUACUUUGUAAACCCAUCUCUUCACUACAAGCACCCAUCCAUUGAGUCAGAUCUUGUAAUAAAUGUUGGGUUCCUAGAUAUGCUUGAGAGGAUGGUGCCUGACAAAGAUAUCCAGGAUGAGAUCCAGAGCCAUGAAUUGAUUAAAGUUCAAGUUAGCAUUGGGAAACUUUGGGAGAGAUAUUGCUUAUGGUUGUUGAUUGUUGAAUUUUUUAUGAAGCUAGUUUCAAGUUUCUAGUUUCUAUCAGGGGAUAGUGGAUAUAGAAUUUCCAACAACUAAUAUUUUUGGAGUUAAUCAUUAAACUAAAAUACCUACUAUCACAUAUAUCAUCUCUAUAUUUUUUUCUAUGCAUUAACCUAUAUUUUUAGAUAUUUUAGAAUUUUUUUAUAUUUAUUGACCGCAUCGUCGCGAUGCACCCACAUUCGGACCGCAUUGAGCCGCAUCACCCCCCCCACCGCUUUUGGCCGCAUCCUGCAUUUUAAAAAACUGGAUAGAAUGGGAAUCAUGGAUGUUAGUGUCAAACGAAGACCAGUAAAGGAGUGCCUUUGAACUCUCUCAGCACAGCUCACUGGAGGUUUUGCCGUGAUGGAGGGUGCCUUUGAACUCUUUCAGCACAGCUCACUGGAGGUUUUGCCGUGAUGGAGGGUGCCUUUGUGUCCCAUAAGCCUGUUAUUGAGUGUGUCUUCCUUUGAAUGGAGCAGGGGAAGCAUGCUAUGUUUAUAUGUCCUUUUAUUGUGAUAGUUGUGAUGCUUGUUUGUGAAAAUGAAGCUUUGUUAGUAUGGGUAAUUAGAUUUUUUUUCCAUGAUGGGAAGCACUUAGCCUUGUUAAUAUGGGUAAGUAAAAUCUGUUUCACGAGAGAACACUUAGCGUCACUGUUGAGUGUUGUACUUCGAAGUUUGAAAGAAACGUUGAGCUUGAGUUGUGGUUCCAAGGAUCAGUCGGAUUUUUUGGAGAAUUCAGUUAAUUGCAAAUACGCCUGGGACUUUGCCAAGAGUAGUGCCCUAUUGAGUUUUUUGCUACAUCAAUAUAUGUACUGCAUAAUGCCAUGUCAGAGUUGCAAAGUUGGAUUUGAACUCGAAAAAUAAAAUUGCAGAUGUGAACACCUUAACUGGGAAUCCUAUGAGUGACAAACUUCCAUGCAGUCCAAGAAAACCUAGUCAGUCCUAAGUGUUUCCUGUUUCCCUUUUUUAUUUUUGAUCGAGUCAAACUUUCCAAAUAUUCAAUAAUAACUACAAUGUUGCUUUCUUUGUGCCUCGAUUUGAGGCUUGUGGGCUUGUGGGCCACGAUUACAUCAUUUAGACCAUAGUUGCCGGGAUCCUCCUGCGAAGAUGUCGAUUCUGCUCUGAAAUCCUGAUCCUGAGCUCCUGAGAAGGGAACCUCACACCUCUGCAAUUCUUAAAUUUUUGAAUCUCGACCCUUCUUAGUAGGGAUUGACAUCCUGCAUUACAUAGGAUUCAGAUUCCCUAGCAUAGCUGUACAACAUGGUAUAGCAAUGUGGCAUGAUAAUGUAGUCUAGCAGUGUGAUAAAGUAUAGUAGUAUGUGUUAUGUAGAAUGAUAUAUAUUAUAUAGUUGUAUGCAAUAGAUUUAAAUAUCAUCAUCAUCAUCGGAGUUUUUUCCCAACUAUUUGGCAUCGGUUACAUGAAUCCUGGUUUGUCAUUCUGCCCUAUCAAGGGCCAUAUCUGUAGUGAGGCCAUAAGUCCCCAUAUCUUUUCUCACUAGUAGAUUUAAAUAUAAUAGGACAUAAUAUACUAUUGUUGAAUAUAAUAUAUAACAUAAUAUAACAGUGUAGUAUUGUAUAACAGUGCGGGAUAUUUUAUGAUAUCUCAACGAUUUUUUGACAUUUCCUGUAUUCUGGCUAGGGCUUCUUGCUCUAAAUAUUGAAAUCUUGAAUCUUUUGGGUACCAAAAUAUUUCUUCCAAUUUCUUGUUAUCUUUACUUGUGUUUGUGUGUUUGCAUAAUCUGAUGCCUUUCUUCACUGCUCUCUUAUCAUGCUGUUGGUAUAGAUAACCAUAGUUGAAUAUCAUUUGUUCUCUCUCUCUCUCAUGCUAUUUUCAUUCUAUGCUGCAUGUAGUUGACCAUUGAAGGAUGAAGAUGAAACCUUGCAGGUGAAGUCCAUACGAAAUUUUUAGAGAGCUAAGCAUGCUUAUGUGCAUGUUACACCAGGCAGGGUCUCAAAGCUCCAAUAAGGUCGCUCCGAGAGGUAGCGGAGCAUGUACGUGUGAUAAUUUUUGGGAUUAAUCUUAAAGAAAGUUGGUUUCCUUGGGUUCCCAAACUCCUGUAAGCUUCUUUUAUCGGAGCGUUUGAAUGGUUGUUUGCUGGGGAAUUCCUUGUGCCUCCCUUUUAAAGGAUUGAUUACUUUUUUCAACGAAUUGUUUUUCAGUGAUGUCAUGGACAGGUGAUUGUGUUUUCUCACCAUUCAUUAUCUCUUGCGUCACGAGAGAGGAAUGUUUUUUUGUUUUGUUGAUGGGGAAGACGAGAGCGGGGGGGGUUGGGUUUGUGGUUCCAUUAAUGAGAGGAAGUCAAAAGUCGCCUAAUUUGUUGAUUAUGAUUUGUUUUGAAUAUAAAGAACAUUGCAUUAGUGAGAAUUAUUUUUCUCUUCUUUCUAGUUUCCAAAAAGAAAUUCCCAACAAAACAAGUUUCUUGGUUAUUAAGAUUUUAUUAGACUAGAAGUCGGG
RNAcentral lists this long non-coding RNA (4318 nucleotides) under Amborella trichopoda. RNAcentral describes it as "long non-coding RNA (ATRI_LNC001027)". The record is from RNAcentral. Lineage: Eukaryota; Viridiplantae; Streptophyta; Magnoliopsida; Amborellales; Amborellaceae.